UACGUAGGGACCAAGCGUUGUUCGGAUUUACUGGGCGUAAAGGGCGCGUAGGCGGCGUGACAAGUCACUUGUGAAAUCUCUGAGCUUAACUCAGAACGGCCAAGUGAAACUGUUGUGCUAGAGUGCAGAAGGGGCAAUCGGAAUUCUUGGUGUAGCGGUGAAAUGCGUAGAUAUCAAGAGGAACACCUGAGGUGAAGACGGGUUGCUGGGCUGACACUGACGGCUGAGGCGCGGAAAUGCCCAGGGGAGCAAACGGG
Molecule: ribosomal RNA, 257 nt
Filed under: uncultured bacterium
Lineage: Bacteria
Description: partial 16S ribosomal RNA
Rfam family: Bacterial small subunit ribosomal RNA
Source: RNAcentral